UACGUAGGUGGCAAGCGUUGUCCGGAUUUACUGGGCGUAAAGAGCGCGCAGGCGGUUGGAUAAGGCGAAUGUGAAAGCCCCCGGCUCAACUGGGGAGGGUCAUUCGAUACUGUCCGACUCGAAGGCAGGAGAGGGAAGCGGAAUUCCCGGUGUAGUGGUGAAAUGCGUAGAUAUCGGGAGGAACACCAGUGGCGAAGGCGGCUUUCUGGCCUGUUCUUGACGCUGAGGCGCGAAAGCCAGGGGAGCAAACGGG
Molecule: ribosomal RNA, 253 nt
Filed under: uncultured bacterium
Lineage: Bacteria
Description: partial 16S ribosomal RNA
Rfam family: Bacterial small subunit ribosomal RNA
Source: RNAcentral